RNAcentral lists this transfer RNA (74 nucleotides) under Bacillota bacterium. Its description in RNAcentral is "tRNA-Trp". It matches the Rfam family "tRNA". Rfam says of the family: Transfer RNA (tRNA) molecules are approximately 80 nucleotides in length. Their secondary structure includes four short double-helical elements and three loops (D, anti-codon, and T loops). Further hydrogen bonds mediate the characteristic L-shaped molecular structure. tRNAs have two regions of fundamental functional importance: the anti-codon, which is responsible for specific mRNA codon recognition, and the 3' end, to which the tRNAs corresponding amino acid is attached (by aminoacyl-tRNA synthetases). tRNAs cope with the degeneracy of the genetic code in two manners: having more than one tRNA (with a specific anti-codon) for a particular amino acid; and 'wobble' base-pairing, i.e. permitting non-standard base-pairing at the 3rd anti-codon position. Lineage: Bacteria; Bacillati; Bacillota. RNAcentral also lists the same sequence under 2 other names. The record is from RNAcentral.
AGGGGUAUAGUUCAAUGGCAGAACAGCGGUCUCCAAAACCGUCGAUGAGGGUUCGAGUCCUUCUACCCCUGCCA